This 1219-nucleotide non-coding RNA is filed under the name Drosophila persimilis. RNAcentral's name for it is "Eukaryotic large subunit ribosomal RNA". It matches the Rfam family "Eukaryotic large subunit ribosomal RNA", at positions 2377 to 3401 of the family's 3401-position model. Lineage: Eukaryota; Metazoa; Arthropoda; Insecta; Diptera; Drosophilidae. The record is from Rfam by way of RNAcentral.
GGACGGGCUUGGAUAAUUAGCGGGGAAAGAAGACCCUUUUGAGCUUGACUCUAAUCUGGCAGUGUAAGGAGACAUAAGAGGUGUAGCAUAAGUGGGAGAUAUUAGAUUUCGGUUUGGUAUCGACAAUGAAAUACCACUACUCUUAUUGUUUCCUUACUUACUUGAUUAAAUGGAACGUGUAUCAUUUCCUAGCCAUUAUACGGAUAUAUUUAUUAUAUCUUAUGGUAUUGGGUUUUGAUGCAAGCUUCUUGAUCAAAGUAUCACGAGUUUGUUAUAUAAUCGCAAACAAAUUCUUUAAUGAGAAAAUGCAUUUAUGUAUUUUCAAUUUGAAAAUUUGGUAUAACUCCAAUUACUCAGGUAUGAUCCAAUUCAAGGACAUUGCCAGGUAGGGAGUUUGACUGGGGCGGUACAUCUCUCAAAUAAUAACGGAGGUGUCCCAAGGCCAGCUCAGUGCGGACAGAAACCACACAUAGAGCAAAAGGGCAAAUGCUGACUUGAUCUCGGUGUUCAGUACACACAGGGACAGCAAAAGCUCGGCCUAUCGAUCCUUUUGGUUUAAAGAGUUUUUAACAAGAGGUGUCAGAAAAGUUACCAUAGGGAUAACUGGCUUGUGGCGGCCAAGCGUUCAUAGCGACGUCGCUUUUUGAUCCUUCGAUGUCGGCUCUUCCUAUCAUUGUGAAGCAAAAUUCACCAAGCGUUGGAUUGUUCACCCAUGCAGGGAACGUGAGCUGGGUUUAGACCGUCGUGAGACAGGUUAGUUUUACCCUACUAAUGACAAAACGUUGUUGCGACAGCAUUCCUGCGUAGUACGAGAGGAACCGCAGGUACGGACCAAUGGCACAAUACUUGUUCGAGCGAACAGUGGUAUGACGCUACGUCCGUUGGAUUAUGCCUGAACGCCUCUAAGGUCGUAUCCGUGCUGGACUGCAAUGAUAAAUAAGGGGCAAUUUGCAUUGUAUGGCUUCUAAACCAUUAAAAGUUUAUAAUUUAUUUUAUAAACGACAAUGGAUGUGAUGCCAAUGUAAUUUGUAACAUAGUAAAUUGGGAGGAUCAUCGAUCACCUGAUGCCGCGCUAGUUGCAUAUAAAAACAUUAUUUAAUACAAUGACAAAGCCUAGAAUCAAUUGUAAACGACUUUUGUAACAGGCAAGGUGUUGUAAGUGGUUGAGCAGCUGCCAUACUGCGAUCCACUGAAGCUUAUCCUUUGCUUGAUGAUUCGA